Nomia melanderi (Alkali bee) is the source of this 268-nucleotide long non-coding RNA. RefSeq lists it as uncharacterized. The record is from RefSeq and is a predicted model, not a curated record. Lineage: Eukaryota; Metazoa; Arthropoda; Insecta; Hymenoptera; Halictidae.
UGAAUGGACCGCAUGCGAGUGUCGCAUCCAGCGUGCAUCCGUGCAUAGAAAAGCCGUGAAAGACGAGGAAGAAAGUGUUCUGAAGCUGGUCCAUUGUGUUUAAGUUCCUCUGUAACGCAUAUUGAUUGCGAAAUGAAGAGUACAAGAACAUUUUGCAUCACAGAUUUCCGGUUCAUGUGGAAUUCGCAGUAAUGAUUCACUUUCGCGAUUACUGAUUUAUGGAAAUUCCAGAUUUUUUAUAACCCCUUGGUCAUGACACGGAACGAGC